GCAAGGAAAACUGAAAUUCGGGCUAAAAUGGGGAAAAUACCAAGUUGUGGACGAAAUGGUAAAAGUAGCCAUUUUCGCAUACGAGUUUUGACAAGCCAGCUCGAAAAUUGGGAACGGUCGGAGGCUCGCUCACACUAUCCGUAUACCAUCUUGGCAUAAUGGCUUGUAUAUUUUGAGUAUGGCAUGUAUAGCAUUAUAAUCAUUUUGUAUAUAUGGUCUUAUGAUAUGGUUAUUGAGUGGUAUGGAAA
Gossypium arboreum is the source of this 248-nucleotide long non-coding RNA. RefSeq lists it as uncharacterized. The transcript is spliced from 2 exons. Lineage: Eukaryota; Viridiplantae; Streptophyta; Magnoliopsida; Malvales; Malvaceae. The record is from RefSeq and is a predicted model, not a curated record.